GCUGUAUGUUUGCAUCAAUAUGUUGGUGUGUUUCUGAAUAUUCAGAGUGGUCUCUGUAUAAUUAUGCCUCCUUUCUGUCGUAUUCUGUGAUUAACUUUUAAAUUUUUUCCUAGUAUGGACAUGUGUAGGUAGUUUAUGAUUUUUCAUCUUUAUCUUGUGUUGUGCGCUUAGACUGAAUCUUCAUUAUUGAAUUUUCAACACUCAUUUUCACAUUUCUUAUGGACUUUGUAAAGUUAAG
This 238-nucleotide long non-coding RNA is filed under the name Mytilus galloprovincialis (Mediterranean mussel). The record is from RNAcentral. Lineage: Eukaryota; Metazoa; Mollusca; Bivalvia; Mytilida; Mytilidae.